RNAcentral lists this ribosomal RNA (1099 nucleotides) under Escherichia coli. Its description in RNAcentral is "partial 23S ribosomal RNA". It matches the Rfam family "Bacterial large subunit ribosomal RNA", at positions 465 to 1569 of the family's 2925-position model. Lineage: Bacteria; Pseudomonadati; Pseudomonadota; Gammaproteobacteria; Enterobacterales; Enterobacteriaceae. The record is from RNAcentral.
GCUAAAUACUCCUGACUGACCGAUAGUGAACCAGUACCGUGAGGGAAAGGCGAAAAGAACCCCGGCGAGGGGAGUGAAAAAGAACCUGAAACCGUGUACGUACAAGCAGUGGGAGCCUCUUAAUGGGGUGACUGCGUACCUUUUGUAUAAUGGGUCAGCGACUUAUAUUCUGUAGCAAGGUUAACCGAAUAGGGGAGCCGAAGGGAAACCGAGUCUUAACUGGGCGUUAAGUUGCAGGGUAUAGACCCGAAACCCGGUGAUCUAGCCAUGGGCAGGUUGAAGGUUGGGUAACACUAACUGGAGGACCGAACCGACUAAUGUUGAAAAAUUAGCGGAUGACUUGUGGCUGGGGGUGAAAGGCCAAUCAAACCGGGAGAUAGCUGGUUCUCCCCGAAAGCUAUUUAGGUAGCGCCUCGUGAAUUCAUCUCCGGGGGUAGAGCACUGUUUCGGCAAGGGGGUCAUCCCGACUUACCAACCCGAUGCAAACUGCGAAUACCGGAGAAUGUUAUCACGGGAGACACACGGCGGGUGCUAACGUCCGUCGUGAAGAGGGAAACAACCCAGACCGCCAGCUAAGGUCCCAAAGUCAUGGUUAAGUGGGAAACGAUGUGGGAAGGCCCAGACAGCCAGGAUGUUGGCUUAGAAGCAGCCAUCAUUUAAAGAAAGCGUAAUAGCUCACUGGUCGAGUCGGCCUGCGCGGAAGAUGUAACGGGGCUAAACCAUGCACCGAAGCUGCGGCAGCGACACUAUGUGUUGUUGGGUAGGGGAGCGUUCUGUAAGCCUGUGAAGGUGGCCUGUGAGGGUUGCUGGAGGUAUCAGAAGUGCGAAUGCUGACAUAAGUAACGAUAAAGCGGGUGAAAAGCCCGCUCGCCGGAAGACCAAGGGUUCCUGUCCAACGUUAAUCGGGGCAGGGUGAGUCGACCCCUAAGGCGAGGCCGAAAGGCGUAGUCGAUGGGAAACAGGUUAAUAUUCCUGUACUUGGUGUUACUGCGAAGGGGGGACGGAGAAGGCUAUGUUGGCCGGGCGACGGUUGUCCCGGUUUAAGCGUGUAGGCUGGUUUUCCAGGCAAAUCCGGAAAACCAAGGCUGAGGCGUGAUGA